UGAAAUUUUUUCACAAAAUUUUAAUAGAAAUAUGAGAUACGGAACAUGUACUUACAAUAUUUUGUCAUAAGUCAGAAGAUACAUGAUUUUCUUGGUCCCAUAAGAUAACAGGAUCAAAAGGUCCUGGAUUGAUAUCCAUAUCGGUCCUAAAAAUUCAACAAAAUGUCAAGUAUUAAAUAAUUUAUAAAAAUGACAUUAAAAAGAUAAAAGAGAAGGAACAAAUAUAAAAUACAAACAUUUAAAUUAUAGGGGAUCCAUAUAUAGAAUUUAUAAACAUAUAAACAUAUGAAUUUAUCAAAGCAUAUUAGUAACAUCCAUCCAAUUGUUCUAGUAAUAAAUUUGAUCCAUAAACUGUUUGAACAAAUGGAUAUAACAAGAACACACUCAUCCCCAUCCAAGAACAAGUGGAUAUAAACUAAUACUAACAAGAAAUAGUAGAAUCACACUCAUCCCCAUCCAAACUAGCUAGCUACUUCUUUAUAAAAACAGGAUGAAACUAGGGUUCAACAAAAUAAUGGA
RNAcentral lists this long non-coding RNA (519 nucleotides) under Panax ginseng (ginseng). RNAcentral's name for it is "long non-coding RNA (PGIN_LNC015401)". Lineage: Eukaryota; Viridiplantae; Streptophyta; Magnoliopsida; Apiales; Araliaceae. The record is from RNAcentral.